This 73-nucleotide transfer RNA is filed under the name Sharpea azabuensis. It matches the Rfam family "tRNA". From Rfam's summary of the family: Transfer RNA (tRNA) molecules are approximately 80 nucleotides in length. Their secondary structure includes four short double-helical elements and three loops (D, anti-codon, and T loops). The record is from Rfam by way of RNAcentral. Lineage: Bacteria; Bacillati; Bacillota; Erysipelotrichia; Erysipelotrichales; Coprobacillaceae.
GGUCUCUUAGCUCAGUCGGUAGAGCAGGGGAUUGAAAAUCCCCGUGUCGCUGGUUCGAUUCCGGCAGAGACCA